AUGGACUGCAGCCAACCCCACGCCAUGCACCUUUGGCAGCACGGGGGGACCGCCUUGUCAGUGGCCCAAUCUGUCGGCCCGGGUGCAAGCCUCGCACGCUCUGUGAUGCACAGCCUUCGGGCGGUCGCUCUACUUAGCGCAGUCACUGCGGGUGGGCCCUGCCCACCGCUGCCGUCCCCUCCCACCCCGGCGCGCCCCUCGACCCGCCCCCGGGAAAGGCGGGGAGCACCCGCCAGGGACCCGAGGCUUCAGGGACCCGAGGCUUCAGGGACUCAGCCGGGGGUGGCCGCUCACAAACCGAAUCGAGCCGGCAAGGCUGCGGAGCUGCACGCCCAGAGAGACAGCGACCACGCCACGCGGUCCCGACGAACGUGCGGGAAGUGGAGAGUGACUGAUCGCAGUCCGGAGGUGGUGGCUGACAUUCAAAAUCUGGUAAAAAGAUUGGAGAGGGCAGUGGGCCACCUGGAAGCAGUAUCCCAUACCUCUGAUAUGCACCGUGGGUAUGGAGACAGUCCUUCAGAAGCAGGAGCAGCUCCAUCUGGGCAGGCAUUUGACUCGCUGCUUGCCAGUCCUAUGGCAGAGUACUUGAAGAUCAGUAGAGAGAUUGGGGGAGACGUGCAGAAACAUGCGGAGAUGUUCCACAGGGUUUUGAAGUUGGAGCGAGCUCUCUUGGCUACAGCUUCUCAGUGUCAACAGCCGGCAGGUAAUAAGCUUUCCGAUUUGUUGGCACCCAUCUCAGAGCAGAUCAAAGAAGUGAUAACCUUUCAGGAGAAGAACCGAGGAGCAAGUUUUAAAUCACCUGUCAGCUGUCAGCAAAAGUAUCCAGGCCCUGGGCUGGGUGGCUAUGGCUCCCAAGUCUGGUCUUUAUGUGAAAGAAAUGAUGCUGCCAUGUUUUAUACAAACAGAGUCAUCAGAGUACAACCACGUAGACUGGGUCAAUAUUUAUUUAAGUAUACAGGCUUACAUUAAGGAGUUCCAUACCACCAGACUGGCCUGAAGCAAAAUGGGGCCUGUAGCAAAAGAACUGAGGGGACUACCAUCUGGACCCUCGGCUGGAUCAGGCCACUGGCCUCCCCAGUCUACCAGUUCAGGCUCAGAUGAGUCUGUUUCCCUCUCAGCACUGUUUGUGCAGAUUAAUUCGGGGGAGAGCAUCACACAUGCCCUGAAAUAUGUAUCUGAUGACAUGAAGACUCACAAGAACCCUGCUCUGAAGGCUCAGAGUGGUCCGGUACACAGUGGCCCCAAACCAUUCUCUGUACCUAAACCCCAAAUCAGCCAUAAAGGAGCCAGCUGUACUUGAACUGGAGGGCAAGAAGUGAAGAGUGGAAAAUCAGGAAAAUGUUUCCAACCUGGUGAUUGAUGACACAGAGCUGAAACAUAUGGCUUACAUACAUGUGUGUCAACACGACAUUGCAAAUCAAGAGCAAAAUUAAUUCCAUUACAGAAGAUAACUAUAAGAAAUUUGGUCCGGUAUUCAAUGACAUGGUGGGCAUUGUGGAGCUAAUCAACAGUAGGGAUGUCAAAGUUCAGGUAAUAGGUAAAGUGCCAAACAUUUCCAUCAACAAAACAGAUGGCUGCCAUGCUUACCUGAGCAAGAAUUCCCUGGAUUGUGACAUAGUCAGUGUCAAAUCUUCUAAGAUGAACAUUCUCAUUCCUACAGAAGGUGGUGACUUUAAUAAAUUCCCAGUUCCUGAGCAGUUCAAGACUAUGGAAUAGAUAGAAGUUGGUCACCACAGUGACAGAAAUUGCUGAAUAAGUGAAGUAGGUUGUCUGCCCUCUCUUCACAUCAUGGGAUAAAUCUGUAUCAAGAUGGUUUUCCAGAUUUCCUCUACAUUUCUGCUCUUAAAACUGCUUCUCUACUCUGAGAAGCACAGCUAUUCGCCUUCACUGAAAUCUACCUCAGGUUAAGAUUUAGGGUGGGAUAGCAGAUCAGUUGAUCUUCUGCAAGAAGGUGCAGCUUUUCCAGAUCAGCUCAACCAUGACCAGGACUGCCGAUCAGGACUGAUGAUGCAUUUUAGCUUUGAGCUCUGGGGGUUUAGUCUACCAACAAACAGUCCAUUGGGAAGAAAACAGUCCCAGGAAUUAACAGAUCAGAAUGUUCACACUGGUUAAUCUUUUUCUAACAAUGAGCAUGAAGGUAGCAGAAGCUGGUGUGUUUCCAGAUGGUUCUUCUAACCAAACUAAUUGUUCACUGUUGACAAAUGAGGCAAGGGUUACACAGGACCAAAGGCUGAGGCUUGGCCAUCUAGUAUUCCACGCAAAAUUGUUUUCUAUAACCAUUUUUUUAAUUCUCUAUUCUAUCUUGGGUCUGCCUCAACCAUGAGAUAGGGGAGUCUCUGGUACUAGCUGCUGUGGCAGUGCCCUUCAUCCAGGGCAGUUAAAGGAGUCUUGGACCCUUUCUUUCUCUGCGAUCCCUGCCCAGUACCUUCCUACAGAGAUGACUUUAAAAG
RNA transcript from Cebus imitator (Panamanian white-faced capuchin), 2450 nucleotides. It is a transcript of the gene named adenylyl cyclase-associated protein 1-like, with no coding region annotated. The record is from RefSeq and is a predicted model, not a curated record. NCBI's taxonomy places the organism in Eukaryota, Metazoa, Chordata, Mammalia, Primates, Cebidae. The transcript is spliced from 2 exons.